RNAcentral lists this ribosomal RNA (560 nucleotides) under Novosphingobium sp. Its description in RNAcentral is "bacterial SSU rRNA". It matches the Rfam family "Bacterial small subunit ribosomal RNA", at positions 33 to 643 of the family's 1533-position model. The record is from RNAcentral. Lineage: Bacteria; Pseudomonadati; Pseudomonadota; Alphaproteobacteria; Sphingomonadales; Sphingomonadaceae.
GUGCAUGCGCAUGCUACACAUGCAGUCGAACGAAGGCUUCGGCCUUAGUGGCGCACGGGUGCGUAACGCGUGGGAAUCUGCCCUUUGCUUCGGAAUAACUUCGGGAAACUGAAGCUAAUACCGGAUAAUGUCGCAAGACCAAAGAUUUAUCGGCAAGGGAUGAGCCCGCGUAGGAUUAGGUAGUUGGUGGGGUAAAGGCCUACCAAGCCGACGAUCCUUAGCUGGUCUGAGAGGAUGAUCAGCCACACUGGGACUGAGACACGGCCCAGACUCCUACGGGAGGCAGCAGUGGGGAAUAUUGGACAAUGGGGGCAACCCUGAUCCAGCAAUGCCGCGUGAGUGAUGAAGGCCUUCGGGUCGUAAAGCUCUUUUACCAGGGAUGAUAAUGACAGUACCUGGAGAAUAAGCUCCGGCUAACUCCGUGCCAGCAGCCGCGGUAAUACGGAGGGAGCUAGCGUUGUUCGGAAUUACUGGGCGUAAAGCGCGCGUAGGCGGCUACUCAAGUCAGAGGUGAAAGCCCGGGGCUCAACCCCGGAACUGCCUUUGAAACUAGGUGGCUA